AUGGACGCAAGUCUGAACCAGCCAUGCCGCUGCAGGAAGACGGCCCUACGGGUUGUAAACUGCUUUUGUACCGGAAUAAACCUUUUCACGUGUGAGAAGCUGAAUGUACGGUAAGAAUAAGGAUCGGCUAACUCCGUGCCAGCAGCCGCGGUAAUACGGAGGAUCCAAGCGUUAUCGGAUUUAUUGGGUUUAAGGGUGCGUAGGUGGCCUGGUAAGUCAGGGGUGAAAGACGGCAGCUUAACGUCGCAGUGCCUUUGAUACUGCCGGGCUUGAUACAGUUGAAGUGGGCGGAAUGUGACAAGUAGCGGUGAAAUGCAUAGAUAUGUCACAGAACACCGAUCGCGAAGGCAGCUCCCUAAAGUGUGAUUGACACUGAGGCACGAAAGCGUGGGGAUCAAACAGGAUUAGACCCUGGUAGUCCACGCCCUAAACGAUGAAUACUCGAUGUUGGCGAUAUACGGUCAGCGUCUAAGCGAAAGCGUUAAGUACCACCUGGGGAGUA
RNAcentral lists this ribosomal RNA (502 nucleotides) under uncultured Mucilaginibacter sp. RNAcentral's name for it is "bacterial SSU rRNA". It matches the Rfam family "Bacterial small subunit ribosomal RNA", at positions 371 to 882 of the family's 1533-position model. The record is from RNAcentral. Lineage: Bacteria; Pseudomonadati; Bacteroidota; Sphingobacteriia; Sphingobacteriales; Sphingobacteriaceae.